RNAcentral lists this non-coding RNA (100 nucleotides) under Klebsiella oxytoca OK-1. Lineage: Bacteria; Pseudomonadati; Pseudomonadota; Gammaproteobacteria; Enterobacterales; Enterobacteriaceae. The record is from RNAcentral.
CGGAUUUGGUGACAUGUCUCGCACAAGACUGUUACCACGGUUCAUAAACUUGCCGGUUAAUGAACCUUCGAAAAACCACCUUGCCGGGUGGUUUUUUCGU